AUUGAACGCUGGCGGCAUGCCUUACACAUGCAAGUCGAACGGUAACGGGUCCUUCGGGAUGCCGACGAGUGGCGAACGGGUGAGUAAUAUAUCGGAACGUGCCCAGUAGUGGGGGAUAACUGCUCGAAAGAGCAGCUAAUACCGCAUACGACCUGAGGGUGAAAGGGGGGGAUCGCAAGACCUCUCGCUAUUGGAGCGGCCGAUAUCAGAUUAGCUAGUUGGUGGGGUAAAGGCCUACCAAGGCAACGAUCUGUAGUUGGUCUGAGAGGACGACCAGCCACACUGGGACUGAGACACGGCCCAGACUCCUACGGGAGGCAGCAGUGGGGAAUUUUGGACAAUGGGCGCAAGCCUGAUCCAGCAAUGCCGCGUGCAGGAAGAAGGCCUUCGGGUUGUAAACUGCUUUUGUCAGGGAAGAAAUCUUCUGGGCUAAUACCCCGGGAGGAUGACGGUACCUGAAGAAUAAGCACCGGCUAACUACGU
Molecule: ribosomal RNA, 483 nt
Filed under: uncultured bacterium
Lineage: Bacteria
Description: partial 16S ribosomal RNA
Rfam family: Bacterial small subunit ribosomal RNA
Source: RNAcentral